Pyrus x bretschneideri (Chinese white pear) is the source of this 4274-nucleotide RNA transcript. It is a transcript of the gene named ankyrin repeat-containing protein ITN1, with no coding region annotated. NCBI's taxonomy places the organism in Eukaryota, Viridiplantae, Streptophyta, Magnoliopsida, Rosales, Rosaceae. The record is from RefSeq and is a predicted model, not a curated record. The transcript has 13 exons.
UUUAAAAUAUCUACAAUGAGUAUUUUGAAUGAGGAAAUUUAUUUCUUGGUAGGUAUACGCAUAGAGCUUGGUCAUUCCGCCAAAGAUUUCCGUAUAAAUGUUCAAAAUCAAGAAAAUGAACAGGGUAAUCAAAGGAAUAACACAGUCUUGGGUUUACUACAAGCACUUCCAUCGAGGCUUUUAGAGUUUUUGGGAAUCAAGCGCAUUCGUGAGCUGAAAUUGAUCCAUGUUCGGUCACGUCAAAUUUUGGACUGCAUGUGUGACGUGAUAAAACAUUUAACUCGUAAAGAAAUGAGGGAUGGCGAUGUAUAUGGUGCAAUAUUCGUAGCUGUUGAAAAUGGGAUUGUUGAGGUCGUUACUUCUUUAUGUAAAGCCAGACCAGAACUGUUAUUCAGAACGAAUGGAGACAACAAGAACAUAUUUCAGCAUGCUGUUGAAUGCCGUCAAGAAAAAGUUUAUAGCCUUAUAUACGGGGUUCGUCAAAGAAAUCUCAUUACGAAUUUACUAGAUGAUUCCUACAACGACCUCCUACAUAGUGCGGGGAUGUUAUCUCCAUUGGCAAAGCUUGAUCGUAUUGCAGGUGCAGCCUUGCAAAUGCAGAGAGAAAGGCAAUGGUACAAGGAGGUAGAGAGUAUUCAUUUCCAACUCUCGGGAUCCUCAACUAAAAAUAAAGAUGGUUUGAUACCCUCUAAACUAUUUACCAAGAGUCACGAGAAAUUGCAUAAGGAAGGAGAAAAGUGGAUGAAGGGAACAUCAAGUUCUUGUACAGUUGUCAGUGCCCUCAUUAUUACAAUUAUGUUUGCUGCAGCAUUUACAGUUCCUGGUGGAAACAACCAAGAAACAGGUUUCCUAUAUUCUUAAACCAAAAACUAUUUAUGGUUUUUAUAGUUUCAGAUGCAAUUUCGCUCUUUUCUUCCGCAACAUCAGUGUUGAUGUUUCUGGGCAUCCUUACAUCGCGUUAUGCUGAAGAUGAUUUUCUCAAAUCCUUACCCACAAAAAUGAUAAUAGGCCAUUCCACACUCUUCAUCUCCAUUGCGACCAUGAUGGUUGCCUUUUCUUCUGCCUUAUUCAUCAUGCUUCAAGACAAACCAUGGAUUACUUAUCCAAUCGUCUUCCUUGCUGGUGUUCCUAUCAUUUUAUUUGUUUGGAUGCAAUUUCCCCUUCUCGUUGACUUUUUCGUGUCUACUUAUGGUGGAGGAAUAUUCGAUAGGAAAGUCAAACGCUGGAUAAAUUCUUGAUGGUGUAUGCGAUAUACUAAUUGUGUAAGUUGUAGUAAUGUUUGUCACUUCUAAGAAAGCUUGUAUGCAUUGUACACGCUAUACAAUUGUUUGGUUCCUAUAAUAAAAACUCCAUUGCUCAAUCUCUUAUUUUUUUAUUUUCGUGGCUAGUUCUGCUGAUUGUUACAGGGUUUUGGCUAGACAGGGAAAUGACUGGAUCCUCACUUAUAGAUAGGUUUAGUGUGUCAUUGAAUUGGUCAUGGAUGAUUAUUCUUCCAAAUACAGGGGAACUGAAUAGUACAGAAACACAAGAGUCUUCUUUGUGGAAAGCUUUGCCAGUCAUAGAUAGGCUAAACUUUGCUGUUUCAGACUGUUGAUAAACAUGGUAGUUAUUGAACCCUUCUGGCUUUUUUUCUAUGGGUAUACUAUCCACACAUCCAUUUUUACUUCUCACACACCCUCUUAAUUUUCGACCAUCAGAUUAAAUGAAUUGAAGAAUAUCAAAUGACAGAAAUUAAUAAGGGGUGUUGAGAAGUAAAACAUGGUGCGUGGAUAGUACAUCCCUUCUUAUAACAUUCGCAAUUGUUUGCUGUGCAUAUAUUUUGCCCAAGGUUUCUGAAAUCAACGGACACUUUCCCCAAAUGUGUUAUCUUCUGCAAUAAAACACGUUAGUGUUGGGAGCGGAGGUUACUAAGAUGUUCUCGCAGCCAUGCUCGCAACUUUCACCCAAGCUCGUUGAUGUUGCACACAGCGUACAAUCUGAUCAGCAGUUUCACUGUUCCUCUAUCCGAUCGCCCAAACCAAAAUUCAGUUUCCACAAUUCGUGGAAAUUCAAAAUCCAACCAAAAGGAAAGAGCUUUUUUCUUAGCUCUUGUAAUCCAGCCAUUUGGAUCCUCUGCAAUAUAUUACACAGUAAAAUGGCGUUUUUGUCCCUGCUGUGCGAUAGAAAUCUGUCGAUUUCUCCACGCAUCCUCUACUUUUAUGAGAUGUCGACGCGUUUUCAUGGUUCCAGAAGUUCUCGAGCCUUCCUUUUUUGAUUUCGAUUUCGAUCUCCAGUUGUCUGUUUCUCUCUCUCUCUCUCCCCCCCUUCCCUCUCUUGCUGCGUUGCGAUCCUCACACCACAAUCUCAUCCUUACAGAUUCGUCCUCUUCGUCUCGAUCCCGAACUGUAAGUUUCCUCUCUCUGCUCGCUCUUUCGCUCUCUUCUCUAACCCUAAUUUCCUCCCUCCGAUCAUCAUUCCGUUCAAUCUCCCAGAUCCCUAAUUGUUUUUAUCAUUUAUAUAAAAAUGGAUUAAAUUUUCGAUUUUUCUUUUCACCCCUUAUUAAAUUGGUCCAGCAUCUUUCAUUUUUCAGUUUCCUCUUUCUUUUCUUCUCUCUGUCUUUCCGUUUCUCUCUAUUUCUCCGUUUGUCUUUCGGUUUUGAUUCCAAUCGGAUUGUGUGGGAGGGUGUUUGGCAUGUUUUUCUCGCUGUUUUCCACGAACGAAUCGCUCUGUUGCAGGAAACAUUACCCUCUCUCUCUCACACUCAGAAAGCACCAACAACACUGUUUGGCUUGCAUAGGUUCGUGAAUUUGAUGAAAAUUAAAAUGAAUUUAAGGAAAAGAGUUUGAAGAAAGCGAAGGUGUGCAAUAAGGUGUUAAAAAGUUCGUUUAAUAUUAACAGAGGUACAUAUACAAGGAUUAUUAGCUAUACCUUAAACACUAAAGCUUACACCACAAUGGUAAGGAUCAAUGGUAUGUGAAAAAAUUCAGAGUUUAUUAGCUUUCUUUCAUUAACGUUUUACAUUUCAAUUCAAUCUUUACUAACCUUUCUCUUCAGUGGAAUUGGCUGAUUUUGUGAGUUAUUUGGUUUUCUUGGCACAUGGGAUUUCAAUUUUUUUUCCGUCGUUUAUGUGUGGUUUGUCUGAUGUAUUUUGAUUUUUGAUUUUAGAAAAAGUUAAGGAUACGAUCAAACGUUUAUUAAUGAGUUUCUAUUUUUUUUAAUUGUGUGUGAUUUAAAUUUUUUCGAGCUUUGGGUGUACUUUUCUGAUCUGCUUUGAUUUUUAGGUGCAGCAAGAGUUGUUGCUCGAAUUUCCAAUUUUUCUCUGCGGCUUUGCAAGCUCCUUAUCAUCAAGGUGCAGCAAGAGUUGUUGCUCGAAUUUCCAAUUUUUCUCUGCGGCUUUGCAAGCUCCUUAUCAUCAAGAAAGCAGUGGCUGCUACAGUACAACUCCAAUUGCAUAUCUUAUUUUUGUGCCUUCUGUUUAAUCCGUUGUCAGGGUUCUCAUCCCAUUAUCUGUUGUUUGGAGUUCAAAACAGAAUGGACAACCUCCUGUGAUUUGCAAGCUUUUAAACCACCAAAAAAACAUAAGGGUCUCUGCAUGUAAAGUGUGCACAAGUUAAGGCAGUUCAGAACCUAUGAAACAAGUAGCACUACUGAUGCACUGUUGGAGAGAUUAUGAACCUCUGUUAAGUCACAGUCCAGUGAAGGGAUUAGCCCGUUCGACUUUGUGUUUUAGAUGAAUCCGUUUCGGAUUGGGAGAAAAUUUAAACCCAGAAAAAGUUGGGUUUCCUGAUGAGUUGUCCGGCAGAUUUCAGGUUGACAACAAACAGGUUGAUCACAUCUUCAGUUUUCUGACUGAUUUAUUCAAUCCUAUCAGUUCUGAUUCUGUCCCUUCAUAACAUUUCCAGCACCAUCUGCCUUGCUCUCAUCACAGCUUGGCUUUCAGCUCCUCAGGAGAAAUAGUGGAAUGGUGGAUGUGAAAGUUUCUUUUACAGCAAUUCAAAGGGAAGAGCUUGACAGACAAUGGACUCUUCCCCUAUUCCUCCACAUUCACUUUUACCAAUUUCCAAGAACAUAUUAAAUUCCCUCAAACUAUAAGCCGAGGUAUGGAAAAGCUUUGAAUUCAUUGGUUUCCUCCAAUUAGUAUGCAGAACUCUAAAAAAAGAAAAAAGUGAGGGUUGAAUGACUACCCUCAUAUAUACACAGACAGAUAUGUAAAAAAAUUAGAAUGGUGAAAUGAGGAUUUAAUGACCUAUUACUCAUUUGGUUCUAUUUAAAUAAAGUUUGCUGAUUGGGUUCAA